Molecule: ribosomal RNA, 229 nt
Filed under: uncultured bacterium
Lineage: Bacteria
Description: partial 16S ribosomal RNA
Rfam family: Bacterial small subunit ribosomal RNA
Source: RNAcentral
UCCGUAGGCGGGCAGCUAAGUCAGUGGUGAAAGUCUGCAGCUCAACUGUAGAAUUGCCAUUGAUACUGGUUGUCUUGAAUUAUUAUGAAGUGGUUAGAAUAUGUAGUGUAGAGGUGAGAUGCAUAGAUAUUACAUAGAAUACCAAUUGCGAAGGCAGAUCACUAAUAAUAUAUUGACGCUGAUGGACGAAAGCGUGGGGAGCGAACAGGAUUAGAUACCCUGGUAGUCC